This 461-nucleotide ribosomal RNA is filed under the name uncultured Desulfobacca sp. RNAcentral's name for it is "bacterial SSU rRNA". It matches the Rfam family "Bacterial small subunit ribosomal RNA", at positions 924 to 1382 of the family's 1533-position model. The record is from RNAcentral. Lineage: Bacteria; Pseudomonadati; Thermodesulfobacteriota; Desulfobaccia; Desulfobaccales; Desulfobaccaceae.
CACAAGCGGUGGAGCAUGUGGUUUAAUUCGACGCAACGCGAAGAACCUUACCUGGGCUUGACAUCUGGGGAAUCUCAUGGAAACAUGGGAGUGCGGAGCAAUCUGAACCCCAAGACAGGUGCUGCAUGGCUGUCGUCAGCUCGUGUCGUGAGAUGUUGGGUUAAGUCCCGCAACGAGCGCAACCCUUGUCUCUAGUUGCCACCAUUCAGUUGGGCACUCUAGAGAGACUGCCGGUGAUAAACCGGAGGAAGGUGGGGACGACGUCAAGUCCUCAUGGCCUUUAUGCCCAGGGCUACACACGUGCUACAAUGGAUCGUACAAAGGGUCGCGAACCCGCGAGGGGGAGCCAAUCCCAAAAACCGGUCCUCAGUUCGGAUUGGAGUCUGCAACUCGACUCCAUGAAGUUGGAAUCGCUAGUAAUCGUGGAUCAGCAUGCCACGGUGAAUACGUUCCCGGGCCUU